RNAcentral lists this ribosomal RNA (497 nucleotides) under uncultured bacterium. Its description in RNAcentral is "partial 16S ribosomal RNA". It matches the Rfam family "Bacterial small subunit ribosomal RNA", at positions 28 to 507 of the family's 1533-position model. The record is from RNAcentral.
GAUGAACGCUGGCGGCGUGCCUAAUACAUGCAAGUCGAGCGAACAGACGAGGAGCUUGCUCCUCUGACGUUAGCGGCGGACGGGUGAGUAACACGUGGAUAACCUACCUAUAAGACUGGGAUAACUUCGGGACACCGGAGCUAAUACAGGAUAAUAUAUUGAACCGCAUGGUUCAAUAGUGAAAGACGGUUUUGCUGUCACUUAUAGAUGGAUCCGCGCCGCAUUAGCUAGUUGGUAAGGUAACGGCUUACGACGGCAACGAUGCGUAGCCGAGCGGUGAGGCUGGUCGGCGACACGGGAGCUGAGACACGGACCAGACUCCUACGGGAGGCAGCAGUAGGGAAUCUUCCGCAAUGGGCGAAAGCCUGACGGAACAACGCCGCGUGAGUGAUGAAGGUCUUCGGAUCGUAAAACUCUGUUAUUAGGGAAGAACAAAUGUGUAAGUAACUAUGCACGUCUUGACGGUACCUAAUCAGAAAGCCACGGCUAACUACGUG